GCCAGGCCUGGUGGCGCAGGUCUGUAAUCCCAGCUACUCGGGAGGCUGAGGCAGGAGAAUUGCUUGAACCCAAGAGGUGGAGGUUGCAGUGAGCCAAGAUUGUGCCAUUGCACUCCACUCCAGCCUGGGUGACAAAGCAAGACCCUGUCUCAA
Molecule: non-coding RNA, 153 nt
Filed under: Chlorocebus sabaeus (green monkey)
Lineage: Eukaryota; Metazoa; Chordata; Mammalia; Primates; Cercopithecidae
Source: Rfam by way of RNAcentral